UACGUAGGGUGCGAGCGUUAAUCGGAAUUACUGGGCGUAAAGCGUGCGUAGGUGGUGAGUUAAGUCUGUCGUGAAAGCCCCGGGCCCAACCUGGGAAUGGCGAUGGAUACUGGCUCGCUAGAGUGCGGUAGAGGAGAGUGGAAUUCCCGGUGUAGCAGUGAAAUGCGUAGAGAUCGGGAGGAACAUCAGUUGCGAAGGCGGCUCUCUGGACCAGCACUGACACUGAGGCACGAAAGCGUGGGGAGCAAACAGG
This 253-nucleotide ribosomal RNA is filed under the name uncultured bacterium. RNAcentral's name for it is "partial 16S ribosomal RNA". It matches the Rfam family "Bacterial small subunit ribosomal RNA", at positions 524 to 776 of the family's 1533-position model. The record is from RNAcentral.